RNAcentral lists this long non-coding RNA (866 nucleotides) under Phaseolus vulgaris (common bean). Its description in RNAcentral is "long non-coding RNA (PVUL_LNC005115)". Lineage: Eukaryota; Viridiplantae; Streptophyta; Magnoliopsida; Fabales; Fabaceae. The record is from RNAcentral.
AAAACCUGCACAAGAGAGAACUAAAAACAACUUCUAUUCUCCAAAACCUGCACUAGCGAGAACUAGAAACAACUUCUAUUUCGGCUGUGUUAAAUUUCUCUUUAGUGUAUGGCCAAAUUUCACGAAAUCCUUUUGGAUAAACAUACCACGAUUUAAAAAUUCUCUUAAUGCCAAUCGUCCAAUCUAUCAAUAUAUUUUUAUUUCUCUUUUACUUCCAUUUCUAAUAUUCCAAACAAGGCACUAAAAGGUAAAUUUAAGAGCUGAAAAACACUCUUUGAGCCUAAACCUUCUUUCCCCCACCCUUGCCUACAUCGUGAUUUUCCAUCUAAUCCCAACCGUGCCAUGUGAGAGAAACAUAUUUGUAGUUAGGAACACAACAAUAAAGAGGGUGCAUUCAUAAACAGUGGGUAAAUUGUACCCUAAAUAACUUGGAUAUUGGAACAAGUUGUCGAAGCCGAACGAACUCGGCUCGGCUCGGUUCGGUUCGGCUGUGGUACCAACUUGCGCCAAAUGACGUCAUCCUGAGCUUUUCCCCUGACGUCAUCACAUCUAUCUCCUUCCUUCCGUGUGUGCCACGUGGUCUGCUAAGUUUAUUCGCACUCACAUUAUUACUCGCAGACGCGCGUGGAAUUAAACCUUAGAAGAAGUGUUCUACAUUUAGACUUUUACAGAUAGCUUUUGCAUUCAAUGCUCACCAAACUUAGAUUCAAACUAGCCAAUAAAAACAACCUUAGGUUUUAGGAGAAAUUUUCAUGUGGGCAUUGCUCUCUCCCACUCUAAAUUAUUGCUUCAGAAAUUUUUAUAUAGUCACUGUUCAUAGUGGUGUUCUCAAAGUCGGAUUUAACUGAAGAUUGAUGAAUUUGGAU